GCAUAUCAAUAAGCGGAGGAAAAGAAACCAACCGGGAUUGCCUCAGUAACGGCGAGUGAAGCGGCAAAAGCUCAAAUUUGAAAUCUGGCAGCAAUGUCCGAGUUGUAAUUUGAAGAGGGUGUUUUGGAGGCGGGUCUUGUCUAUGUCUGUUGGAACACAGCGUCACAGAGGGUGAGAAUCCCGUGCGAUGAGAACGCGUCUCCGUGUAAAGUGCCCUCGACGAGUCGAGUUGUUUGGGAAUGCAGCUCUAAGUGGGUGGUAAAUUCCAUCUAAAGCUAAAUAUUGGCGAGAGACCGAUAGCGAACAAGUACAGUGAUGGAAAGAUGAAAAGCACUUUGAAAAGAGAGUGAAAAAGUACGUGAAAUUGUUGAAAGGGAAGGGCUUGAGAUCAGCGUGGAGAGGAUUCAUUCUCUCUGGGCCAGCAUCGGUUUGCGGGGGGAGACACGGGGCACGAGCGGCGCUGUAUGGCGAAGCUCGGGCCAGAUAUCCCCACCACAGACCGAGGACUGCGAGCAAUCAAGGAUGCUGGCAUAAUGAUCUUCAGCCGCCCGUCUUGAAACACGGACCAAGGAGUCUAACGUCUAUGCGAGUGUUUGGGUGUCAAACCCCAGCGCGGAAUGAAAGUAAGAGAUGAGAGCAAUGCGCAUCAUCGACCGAUCCUGAAGUGUUCGGAUGGAUUUGAGUAAGAGCAUAGCUGUUGGGACCCGAAAGAUGGUGAACUAUGCCUGAAUAGGGUGAAGCCAGAGGAAACUCUGGUGGAGGCUCGUAGCGGUUCUGACGUGCAAAUCGAUCGUCGAAUUUGGGUAUAGGGGCGAAAGACUAAUCGAACCAUCUAGUAGCUGGUUCCUGCCGA
This 853-nucleotide ribosomal RNA is filed under the name [Candida] anutae. RNAcentral's name for it is "LSU rRNA". It matches the Rfam family "Eukaryotic large subunit ribosomal RNA", at positions 38 to 964 of the family's 3401-position model. The record is from RNAcentral. Lineage: Eukaryota; Fungi; Ascomycota; Pichiomycetes; Serinales; Debaryomycetaceae.